This 2068-nucleotide long non-coding RNA is filed under the name Triticum aestivum (bread wheat). RNAcentral's name for it is "long non-coding RNA (TAES_LNC024484)". Lineage: Eukaryota; Viridiplantae; Streptophyta; Magnoliopsida; Poales; Poaceae. The record is from RNAcentral.
GAAAUUGCAGAAAGUAUCUUUAUUGAUUCAUAUAAUAAGCAAAGUACAAUUACACGAGAAAGUGAAAUCUGAAGAAGAAAUAUAUUACAAGCACAAUACUCUGUUCUCAUUUACAAUUCAAGCUCCUUUUGGAGACUGGAUUUGCUAUGAACAUAGAACAAAAAAAACCUGGAAAGUUGCAGAAUGAAAAGUAUCGACAAAGGUUUUCCAUCUUCGUGAUCUAAAGCUCUAAUUCCUUCCACAAGUUGCCUUUCAAAAAUAUCCAGGAAUUCGACAGUUAAAGUGGCAAUCCAAGUUCCAUUCUCUUUUACGAUUCAAAGUCUCAUGGAGAUGUGAUUUGUUUAUCAACUUUCAAAAUAGGAACUAGAAAGUUGAUGAAAUUAUAAGCGCACAUAAGUUUUCCAUCCUCAUGACCUAAAGUUCCACAAGUUGCCUUCCAAAAGUUUUGAGAAUUUGACAUUUGAACUGACAUCCCGAGUUCCAUUCUUGUUGUCUUUGAAUAAGCCGUGAAAACACUUUGACGACAAAUAUUCUUGAUGGCAUUUUCGAUAUGUCAAAAAGUGCGACAACAAGAGUUCCAUUCUCAUUGUAUACUGAUCUUGGUUCAAAUAACCGAGCUUAAAAUAUUCGAUAGUAUUCCAGCCUUCACAGUAAAAAACACAAAGUCAAUAAAAGAAUAUAGUAUAAGAAUAAAAGAUAAUGAUCAAAUUUUGCAUACCCCAAACCUAAGGUUGUAGAUUAUGAUCGAGUAGUGCUGUCCAAACGAUCUGAGAUGAAAGGACUCCUUGCGUGCUAAUCGUAGAGCAGCAGGAGGAAAUAGAUCUGGGAUAGAGCGCAGAUGUCUCAAGCGUUUUGUGACCAACAACACUAACAAUGAAAAGCAAACCAUGAGUAACAGACCAAAUGCUGACAACAACAGACGAAAUACAAUUAGUCUUGUAUUGAGCUAAAAGACAGACCUCAAACCUCAGGCCAGUAUAUUAUAUUCCUUCUAUUGCAGGGACGCUGACACAAAAGAGAGUAUCCAUAAGCAACAAGUCAAAUUCUUAAAACAAUAAUAUAUACUCCCUCCGUUCCUAAAUAUUUGUCUUUUUAGGGAUUUCAAAUGGACUAGCACAUACGGAUGUAUAUAGACAUAUUUUAGAGUGUAGAUUCACUCAUUUUGCUCCGUAUGUAGUCACUUGUUGAAAUCUAGAAAGACAAAUAUUUAGGAACGGAGGUAGUACAAAGCAACACACAGUAGUAGCUCCAAUACAAAGCAGCAACCAUCACUGUAGAGUAGUCUUAAUUACUACUUCCUCCGUUCACAACUAUAAGAUGUUAUGGAUAUUUCAAUAUGGACUACAUAAGUGAACAAACACACUAAAACGUGUCUACAUACAUCCGAUUCAGAAAAAAAUUGGAACAUCUUAUAUUUGUGAACAGAGGGAUUAUUUGUUUUACAUGUCCUAUUGUGAUGCGUGUCUUUGACUCAGUUGUGCCAUCAUGGAGUAACACGCUGCACAAGUAUAAUAUAUGCGGGGAGUAGAUACACAUAGUUCAGACAGCAAUUCUAAACCUUACUGAUUUCCAGAACACAUACCGCAAGUUAAACUGUAACUCUGAAGAUAAGCAUCUUGAGAAAUGGAAUUCUUGAACAUCUCAGAUAGAAUAAGUAGUCCAGGUUAUAGCAAACACACAAUAUCUACAAUGUCCUAAUGCACUCUGUGAGAAAGAGAAAUUUAUUACUAGCUACAUCAGAACUGAAGAACUGACUAUUGACUAAUGACUACUCUUAAGUAGUCUGAGCACUGGGCAUAGACUAAGAUCACAGGGAUCAGGGGAAACCUGCUGCAUUUGGUAAGCAACAUGGGCAUGAACUUGGUUGCAGCUAAAGCACUCCCUGACUCCGGUAAGCACAUCACAGCAGGUUUUGUUAAAGAAAGUGCAGAAACAUGUAAAAGUUGUAAGCAUUUAGUCACUAAAUUAGGCAAUUUAUUCUAUAUCUAUAAUGAGCAUCCAUGGAGUUCCAUUACGUGUAAAAACUAAAAGUAGUGCAUUAGGGCCUGACGCCCCCGCAUGUCCUGGC